GACGAACGCUGGCGGCGUGCUUAACACAUGCAAGUCGAACGGAAAGGCCCCAGCUUGCUGCGGUCCUCGAGUGGCGAACGGGGGAGUAACACGUGGGUGAUCUGCACCUCACUCUGGGAUAAGCCUUGGAAACUGGGUCUCAUACCGGAUAGGACCGAUCGCUAGUGUGUGCGGUGGAGUGUUUUUCGGUGCUGGUUGAGCUCGCGGCCUAUCAGAUUGUUGGUGAGUUAAUGGGCUACCAAGGCGGGGACGGGAUGCAGGCCUGGGAGGAUGGACGGCCACAUUGGAACUGAGCGACGGCCCAGACUCGUACGGGAGGGAGGGGUGGGGAAUAGUGCACAAGGGGAGCGAGCCUGGUGCAGUGACGCCGCGUGGGGGAUGACGGCAUUGGGGUUGUAAACCAAUUUCGGCAGGGACGAAGCGUUUGUGACGGUACCUGCAUAAGAAGCACCGGCUAACUACGUG
RNAcentral lists this ribosomal RNA (465 nucleotides) under uncultured bacterium. RNAcentral describes it as "partial 16S ribosomal RNA". It matches the Rfam family "Bacterial small subunit ribosomal RNA", at positions 28 to 507 of the family's 1533-position model. The record is from RNAcentral.